This 358-nucleotide ribosomal RNA is filed under the name uncultured bacterium. Its description in RNAcentral is "bacterial SSU rRNA". It matches the Rfam family "Bacterial small subunit ribosomal RNA", at positions 30 to 386 of the family's 1533-position model. The record is from RNAcentral.
AUUGAACGCUGGCGGCAUGCCUUACACAUGCAAGUCGAACGGCAGCACGGGAGCAAUCCUGGUGGCGAGUGGCGAACGGGUGAGUAAUAUAUCGGAACGUGCCCAGUCGUGGGGGAUAACGUAGCGAAAGCUACGCUAAUACCGCAUACGAUCUAUGGAUGAAAGCGGGGGAUCGCAAGACCUCGCGCGAUUGGAGCGGCCGAUAUCAGAUUAGGUAGUUGGUGAGGUAAAGGGCUCACCAAGCCGACGAUCUGUAGCUGGUCUGAGAGGACGACCAGCCACACUGGGACUGAGACACGGCCCAGACUCCUACGGGAGGCAGCAGUGGGGAAUUUUUGGACAAUGGGCGCAAGCCUGA